AUUGAACGCUGGCGGCAUGCCUUACACAUGCAAGUCGAACGGUAACGGGCCUUCGGGUGCCGACGAGUGGCGAACGGGUGAGUAAUACAUCGGAACGUGCCCGAUCGUGGGAGAUAACGAGGCGAAAGCUUUGCUAAUACCGCAUACGAUCUACGGAUGAAAGCAGGGGACCGCAAGGCCUUGCGCGGACGGAGCGGCCGAUGGCAGAUUAGGUAGUUGGUGGGAUAAAAGCUUACCAAGCCGACGAUCUGUAGCUGGUCUGAGAGGAUGAUCAGCCACACUGGGACUGAGACACGGCCCAGACUCCUACGGGAGGCAGCAGUGGGGAAUUUUGGACAAUGGGCGCAAGCCUGAUCCAGCCAUGCCGCGUGCAGGAUGAAGGCCUUCGGGUUGUAAACUGCUUUUGUACGGAACGAAAAGCCUUCUUUUAAUACAGGAGGGUCAUGACGGUACCGUAAGAAUAAGCACCGGCUAACUACGUG
Molecule: ribosomal RNA, 482 nt
Filed under: uncultured bacterium
Lineage: Bacteria
Description: partial 16S ribosomal RNA
Rfam family: Bacterial small subunit ribosomal RNA
Source: RNAcentral